This is a small nucleolar RNA of Gigantopelta aegis, 72 nucleotides long. RefSeq annotates it as small nucleolar RNA SNORD60. NCBI's taxonomy places the organism in Eukaryota, Metazoa, Mollusca, Gastropoda, Neomphalida, Peltospiridae. The transcript has a single exon. The record is from RefSeq and is a predicted model, not a curated record.
AGCAACUGAUGAAAAUCAUUCUGACACCUCUUAUGAAAAUCUGUGAUCUGGUUAUUAUUAUUUCUGAUGCUG